Molecule: long non-coding RNA, 347 nt
Filed under: Capsicum annuum
Lineage: Eukaryota; Viridiplantae; Streptophyta; Magnoliopsida; Solanales; Solanaceae
Description: long non-coding RNA (CANN_LNC021434)
Source: RNAcentral
AGGUUGUCACAAGUUCUAGUAAGUGUGGUCCACUCCUAUUACGACUUAUUCACUUGUUUCUGAUUUCUAUUGAGCUCCUAUAUCACAUGUGAUUAUUUACAGCUUUACAUACUCAGUACAUAUUUCGUACUGACGUCCCUCAACGGGGACCUGCAUUUCAUGCUGCAGGCACAGGUACCUCAGCUCAUACACCGCACAAGUAGGAGCCAGGUCAUACAGCUAUUGUUGGUGAGCUCCAGUUUGCUUCGGAGCUUUCUGAGUCGGUUCCUUAUGUUUUGUUCUUGUACAUGAGUCAUGUGUGGGCGGGGGUUUAUCCCGACCCUAGUUAUGUCAUGUAUAUCCUAGAG